GAUGAACGCUGGCGGCGUGCUUAACACAUGCAAGUCGAGCGAAGCACUUUUGCGGAUUUCUUCGGAUUGAAGCAACUGUGACUGAGCGGCGGACGGGUGAGUAACGCGUGGGUAACCUGCCUCAUACAGGGGGAUAACAGUUGGAAACGACUGCUAAUACCGCAUAAGCGCACAGUACCGCAUGGUACGGUGUGAAAAACUCCGGUGGUAUGAGAUGGACCCGCGUCUGAUUAGGUAGUUGGUGGGGUAACGGCCUACCAAGCCGACGAUCAGUAGCCGACCUGAGAGGGUGACCGGCCACAUUGGGACUGAGACACGGCCCAAACUCCUACGGGAGGCAGCAGUGGGGAAUAUUGCACAAUGGGGGAAACCCUGAUGCAGCGACGCCGCGUGAGCGAUGAAGUAUUUCGGUAUGUAAAGCUCUAUCAGCAGGGAAGAAAAUGACGGUACCUGACUAAGAAGCCCCGGCUAACUACGUGCCAGCAGCCGCGGUAAUACGUAGGGGGCAAGCGUUAUCCGGAUUUACUGGGUGUAAAGGGAGCGUAGGCGGCAUGGCAAGCCAGAUGUGAAAGCCCGGGGCUCAACCCCGGGACUGCAUUUGGAACUGUCAGGCUAGAGUGUCGGAGAGGAAAGCGGAAUUCCUAGUGUAGCGGUGAAAUGCGUAGAUAUUAGGAGGAACACCAGUGGCGAAGGCGACUUUCUGGACGAUGACUGACGCUGAGGCUCGAAAGCGUGNGGAGCAAACAGG
Molecule: ribosomal RNA, 748 nt
Filed under: uncultured bacterium
Lineage: Bacteria
Description: bacterial SSU rRNA
Rfam family: Bacterial small subunit ribosomal RNA
Source: RNAcentral